GUAGGUGGCAAGCGUUGUCCGGAAUUAUUGGGGCGUAAAGCGCGCGCAGGCGGUUCUUUAAGUCUGAUGUGAAAGCCCACGGGCUCAACCGUGGAGGGUCAUUGGAAACUGGAGAACUUGAGUACAGAAGAGGAAAGCGGAAUUCCACGUGUAGCGGUGAAAUGCGUAGAGAUGUGGAGGAACACCAGUGGCGAAGGCGGCUUUCUGGUCUGUAACUGACGCUGAGGCGCGAAAGCGUGGGGGAGCAAACAGGAUUAGAUACCCUGGUAGCCCACGCCGUAAACGAUGAGUGCUAAGUGUUAGGGGGUUUCCGCCCCUUAGUGCUGCAGCUAACGCAUUAAGCACUCCGCCUGGGGAGUACGGCCGCAAAGGCUG
Molecule: ribosomal RNA, 375 nt
Filed under: uncultured organism
Description: partial 16S ribosomal RNA
Rfam family: Bacterial small subunit ribosomal RNA
Source: RNAcentral